UUUUUUGACUAAAACACUCAAUUUACGUUUAAUGCACAUUUCACACAUAGAUGUUUGACCUUUGAGGUGAUAUUUAUAUAAAAAUGAAUAUGUGUAAAGUAAUAAUUUUAACAACAUAUUUUGCUACAAUGUGAUCACAUAUUGUUUGAUGUACGAACAUCUAAUGUUUCCGAAUUUAUUCCGACUUAAUAUGAAAAUCCAAACGUGUCUUGGUAUAUUUUGAAAAACAAAAUUAUCAUACAAUUCCCUAUUGAUCAACAAAUUGUUGGUAGUGAAGGCGAGUCCUGCGCCAUUCGACGUCACGUGUUGGCUAGAAAGCAUGGAGGACGACCAAAGGAUUUGCAGCAAGAUAAAUACCCGAAUGAAAAUUAGAAGCUUCUAAGGUCCUUUUGGUCAAAGAUGAUGUGGGUAGCAAAAUAGAUGCCUAUGGCACCAAAUAUGGCAGAGGAGGCAAUGUACGCGGUGACGGACUCUGUGAACUGGACUAUCAUGCCCAUGAAGAGGGUGGGGAAGACCUGAGAGAGAAGAAAGGUGCUGUCCAGAAUGGCGAAGUCUAAUCCGACCCCACGUUUCUCGAAAUCCUCAGACUCCAGAUCAAGGCGGGCAUCAUUCUGAGGGGGGUAAUACUCUGGUUUAUCUCUAUUGUAAUUAGCGUGCCCAUUGGAAAUACCACUCUUGUGGUUGACAUCUUCAGAGCCGUUGUCUAAUGACAUAUAAACAGAAUCCCUUGUGAUG
Non-coding RNA from Danio rerio (zebrafish), 735 nucleotides. The record is from RefSeq and is a predicted model, not a curated record. Lineage: Eukaryota; Metazoa; Chordata; Actinopteri; Cypriniformes; Danionidae.